This 475-nucleotide ribosomal RNA is filed under the name uncultured bacterium. RNAcentral's name for it is "bacterial SSU rRNA". It matches the Rfam family "Bacterial small subunit ribosomal RNA", at positions 328 to 793 of the family's 1533-position model. The record is from RNAcentral.
UCAGUCGACUCCUACGGGGAGGCAGCAGUGGGGAAUAUUGGACAAUGGGGGAAACCCUGAUGCAGCCAUGCCGCGUGUGUGAAGAAGGCCUUCGGGUUGUAAAGCACUUUCAGUAGGGAGGAAGGUAGUGUAGUUAACACCUGCACUAUUUGACGUUACCUACAGAAGAAGCACCGGCUAACUCCGUGCCAGCAGCCGCGGUAAUACGGAGGGUGCGAGCGUUAAUCGGAAUUACUGGGCGUAAAGCGCAUGCAGGCGGCCUGUUAAGUCAGAUGUGAAAGCCCGGGGCUUAACCUCGGAAUUGCAUUUGAAACUGGCAGGCUAGAGUCUUGUAGAGGGGGGUAGGAAUUUCAGGUGUAGCGGUGAAAUGCGUAGAGAUCUGAAGGAAUACCAGUGGCGAAGGCGGCCCCCUGGACAAAGACUGACGCUCAGAUGCGAAAGCGUGGGGAGCAAACAGGAUUAGAUACCCUGGUAG